RNAcentral lists this unclassified non-coding RNA (219 nucleotides) under Hevea brasiliensis (rubber tree). Lineage: Eukaryota; Viridiplantae; Streptophyta; Magnoliopsida; Malpighiales; Euphorbiaceae. The record is from RNAcentral.
GCAGCUGUUAGAAGCAACUCAAAUUGUAUUAGCUGAUUCUGGACAUUGGCAAGUUUUAUAUUGAUCAGAUCCUCUGUAUCAUCAAUAUAUUCUUUAAGUGAUGACAACUUGUUCAGAGCGCUGUCAAUGACCACAAAAUAUGUUUCAAGCAACAUUUCAAGCUGAUCAAUAUUUUCUUGACAAUUAGAUGAAGCUGAAAUGCUUCCGUGUUUGCUUGAG